UUCAAACGUCCAUGUCCUUUG
RNAcentral lists this unclassified non-coding RNA (21 nucleotides) under Mus musculus (house mouse). RNAcentral describes it as "oocyte_clustered_small_RNA12576". Lineage: Eukaryota; Metazoa; Chordata; Mammalia; Rodentia; Muridae. The record is from RNAcentral.